UUUGAUUUUAGCCAAGCCGGAGAGUGCUCUGAGCCAAGCUUGUACAUGAGAUGAUAAGUGGGCUUCUUUUGCUGACUUCGGCGGUAGGUUUGAGUUAAUCCGGCGGUGGGUGAGGGAGGCGCCAUUGAACGGUGGCCACACCACGGAAGGCGCGACGCGAAAGCGAGAGGGGGCUCGUCGGUCUGGGCGCGAAGGGGAGAGGGGAAGAGGAGAGAGAGAAGUUUCUGAGCAGACAUGUUUUUUGAAAUUCAGAGGGAAAAGUAGAAGAAAAAAGUAAAAAAAAACGCCGGCUGGGGUUGUAUACUGGGAGUGCUCGGAGUUCCCUUUCACUACUGUGAUACUUACCUUAUUAUAUAAUGCAUUCUUGCACUUCAGUGUCUUUGGACCUUAGUUUUCACUUGGGUUUUGCUAAUAAUUGGAGUUUGAGGCCUUUUAGAAGAUCAAGACUUUGUCUUUCUCAGGAAAGAGGCGUCAUAAAACCAGAAAAUAGGCAUGACAAGGGCACUUUUACAGAAUACAACAAGUUAGGCACCAAGGAUGAUCUUCUAAUUUCCCAUUCUCCUGUAGCCCAGCAAGAUAGCCUACCUCCUUUAGUUAGUGCAUUGAAAGCUUCAGCUGAACAAAAUGUUGCCAGCUUUCACUUCCCUGGGCAUAACAGAGGUCGUGCUGCCCCACCAUCAUUAACUCAAAUAAUUGGUUUAAAACCAUUUUCCCACGAUUUGCCUGAGCUUCCAGAGCUUGACAACCUAUUUUCUCCGGAGGGGCCUAUUUUAGAAGCACAAAGACAAGCAGCCAAACUCUUUGGGUCAUCAGAGACAUGGUUUCUUGUUGGGGGUACGACUUGUGGAAUACAAGCAGCAAUAAUGGCAACUUGUUCUCCUGGAGAAUUUCUAAUUCUUCCUCGGAAUUCCCAUAUAUCUGCUAUAUCUGCCAUGGUAUUAUCUGGUGCACGACCCAAGUACAUCAUUCCUCAGUAUGAUUUUGAAUGGGACAUUGCUGGCGGCGUGACUUCAUCACAUGUGGAGCAAGCAGUCAAGGAACUAGAGAUGGAAGGUCAAAGGGCAGCUGCAGUAUUUAUCACUUCCCCCACAUAUCAUGGUAUAUGUAGCAACUUGACCGAAAUUUCCCAGCUGUGUCAUUCGCAUGGAAUUCCUUUGAUUGUUGAUGAGGCUCAUGGGGCACAUCUUGGAUUUCAUCCCCAGCUUCCCAAUUCAGCCCUUCAGCAAGGAGCUGAUCUUGCAGUACAGUCCACUCACAAAGUUUUAUGCUCUCUCACACAGUCCUCAAUGCUACACAUGUCGGGGAAUAUGGUAGAUAGUGAAAGAAUAUGUAGAUGUCUCCAAACUCUUCAAAGCACUAGCCCUAGUUAUUUGCUUUUGGCAUCAUUAGAUGCUGCUAGAUCUCAAUUAAGUGAAAAUCCAGAUACUAUUUUCAACAGAGCAAUGGAAUUAGCCUUUGAAGCUAAAUACUUGAUAAAGGAAAUACCAGGCAUUUCAGUGCUUGACCUUGCAAGAUUUUCUAACUUUCCAGCCAUUGAUCCUUUGCGACUUACUAUUGGUUUUUGGCAGCUUGGUUUGUCUGGUUAUGAAGCUGAUGAAUUCUUGUGCAGAGAUCAUGGGAUCGUUUGUGAACUUGUUGGGGACCGAUCUAUUACUUUCGCAAUGAACCUUGGAACUAGUAGAGAUGAUAUUCAGAGGCUUAUAUUAGCAAUAGAGCAUCUAGUAGAAAUUACUGCACCGAUUGAUGGAGAAAAAGGGUAUGGGGAGUUUAAUGGUUAUACACCCUUUGGAGAUAUCAAAAUGAGCCUGAUUCCCAGGGAUGCCUUUUUUGCAAGUAAAAAGAAAGUCGGUAUAGGGGAGAGCCUUGGGAAAGUUUGUGGGGAGCUUAUAUGUCCAUAUCCGCCAGGGAUACCAGUUAUGAUUCCUGGUGAGGUUAUUACAGAGAAAGCUUUGGAGUAUCUACUGGAUGUUGGAAGCAAAGGUGCUGUUAUAACUGGAGCCUCUGAUACUUCCCUAUCUUCUAUAUUAGUUUGCAAUGUGUAGUUCAUUACUGUGUUGAAGUGCAUGCUUAAGGUAGUGGCAGGGCACAUGAAGGUGGGAGUACUCUCUGUAGCAUGUAUGCGCAUGCCCGCCACUGAUACUAGCAAUCACCACCACUAUACCUUUUUCCAUUAAAUCUUUGGGAGAGAGCUGGAGAAUGACUUUCCUUUCCCCUUUGAAUAUUGGCCAUGAUUUUUACAGCAUCAUCCAAGGUACUUAACCAGAAAUUAGGUAAAUGAAGUCUGCCAGAAACUGUGUUACAUGAGAGCACUUUUAAGAACUUCUCUUUCUUUUCUUUUCACAUGAUCAAGGUAUUUAAGAGGGGAAUGGUCCUUAAGGGAGGAUAACAUAGUGAUCCCAGAUGCGGUGCACGGGACCGGGGUUUACGCUGCAGGGGUGGGUCUGAAGGGUCCUGCCUUUGCGAGGUUUUCUGACAUAAAAAAAAAAAAAAUAGUGAUCCCAGUACAUUUGUUACCCUCAAGGUACAUAAGGAGGGAAGAAUUACUUCAUUUUCCGUGGAGUAAUGUUAUUAUUUACUUUAGAUUUUGUUAUUAUCAAUCAUAUGUUUUGAUGUGACAUUUUUAUUUGCAUGUCUAUCACUUAAAUAAACAUUUUAAGUGGUUGUUUUACAUUAGCAGCUGUGAUUAGGGAUGUAAAAAUUUAGGAUGAAUUGUGCGA
Molecule: RNA transcript, 2717 nt
Organism: Juglans microcarpa x Juglans regia
Lineage: Eukaryota; Viridiplantae; Streptophyta; Magnoliopsida; Fagales; Juglandaceae
Gene name: arginine decarboxylase-like
Exons: 5
Source: RefSeq, a predicted model, not a curated record